AUGCACUGACAGACAGACACAUACACUUACUUAAAUUCACUGACACACACAUUCACUGAAACACACUCACACACAUUCACUGAAACACACACACUCACUCACAUUCACUGACACACAUUCACUCACAUUCACUGACACACACACUCACUCACAUUCACUGACACACACAUUCACUGACACACACUCACUCACAUUCACUAACACACACUCAGUCACUCACAUUCACUGACACACAAUUAUUUUUAUUAUUAUUUAUUUUAAAAAAUUAAAUCCACCCAGCCUCCCUACGUUUGGGAUAGCUGGGUGGAUUUCUCAUCUGGGGUCCAGUGGGGCUUCUUGGCA
Molecule: non-coding RNA, 342 nt
Organism: Pelobates cultripes (western spadefoot toad)
Lineage: Eukaryota; Metazoa; Chordata; Amphibia; Anura; Pelobatidae
Source: the annotation of a GenBank genome assembly